RNAcentral lists this ribosomal RNA (529 nucleotides) under uncultured bacterium. Its description in RNAcentral is "bacterial SSU rRNA". It matches the Rfam family "Bacterial small subunit ribosomal RNA", at positions 316 to 842 of the family's 1533-position model. The record is from RNAcentral.
GUACUGAGACACGGACCAGACUCCUACGGGAGGCAGCAGUGAGGAAUAUUGGUCAAUGGGCGAGAGCCUGAACCAGCCAAGUCGCGUGAGGGAAGACGGUCCUAUGGAUUGUAAACCUCUUUUGCCGGGGAGCAAAAAGCGGUACGUGUACCGCAUCGAGAGUACCCGGAGAAAAAGCAUCGGCUAACUCCGUGCCAGCAGCCGCGGUAAUACGGAGGAUGCGAGCGUUAUCCGGAUUUAUUGGGUUUAAAGGGUGCGCAGGCGGCGAGUUAAGUCAGCGGUAAAAUUUCGGGGCUCAACCCCGACAAGCCGUUGAAACUGGCUUGCUAGAGUGGGCGAGAAGUAUGCGGAAUGCGUGGUGUAGCGGUGAAAUGCAUAGAUAUCACGCAGAACUCCGAUUGCGAAGGCAGCAUACCGGCGCCCAACUGACGCUCAGGCACGAAAGCGUGGGUAUCGAACAGGAUUAGAUACCCUGGUAGUCCACGCAGUAAACGAUGAGCACUAAUUGUCCGGUCCGAGUGAGGGCUGG